RNAcentral lists this transfer RNA (40 nucleotides) under Proctoporus cf. bolivianus Ca5. RNAcentral's name for it is "partial tRNA-Leu". The record is from RNAcentral. Lineage: Eukaryota; Metazoa; Chordata; Lepidosauria; Squamata; Gymnophthalmidae.
CUUUUAAAGGAAAUGAGCCCUCCGCUGGCUUUAGGAGCCA